UCCUUCUUAGCUCAGUUGGUAGAGCGCGUCACUAGUACAUACCAUGUUUGUAUUUAUAUGACGAGGUCAGUCGUUCGAGUCGGCUAGAAGGAA
Non-coding RNA from Macrolepiota fuliginosa MF-IS2, 93 nucleotides. The record is from the annotation of a GenBank genome assembly. Lineage: Eukaryota; Fungi; Basidiomycota; Agaricomycetes; Agaricales; Agaricaceae.